AGGAGUGCUUUUACGGAUAUUCCGAAUGCUGACGACCUGGUCCACGCUCAGGUGUUCCAAGAUAUGGCUCGUUCUUACGCUCAGGUUCUUCUUCUCUCAUUUCUUUGUAUGUGUAGUGCUUUCUUGUUUUUUCAACGCUUGAUCAUUGGUUUAUUUUGCUUAGUCGAAGGUUCAUGCGGUGCGGCUCGUAUAUCUCUACGAGAAGGAUCUGAAGAGA
Molecule: long non-coding RNA, 217 nt
Filed under: Brassica napus (rape)
Lineage: Eukaryota; Viridiplantae; Streptophyta; Magnoliopsida; Brassicales; Brassicaceae
Description: long non-coding RNA (BNAP_LNC015500)
Source: RNAcentral